Molecule: ribosomal RNA, 539 nt
Filed under: Bacillus sp. CR-I-E5
Lineage: Bacteria; Bacillati; Bacillota; Bacilli; Caryophanales; Bacillaceae
Description: bacterial SSU rRNA
Rfam family: Bacterial small subunit ribosomal RNA
Source: RNAcentral
ACCUGCCUGUAAGAUUGGGAUAACUCCGGGAAACCGGAGCUAAUACCGGAUAAUAUGUUGAACCGCAUGGUUCAACAUUGAAAGAUGGCUUUUGCUAUCACUUACAGAUGGACCCGCGGCGCAUUAGCUAGUUGGUGAGGUAACGGCUCACCAAGGCAACGAUGCGUAGCCGACCUGAGAGGGUGAUCGGCCACACUGGGACUGAGACACGGCCCAGACUCCUACGGGAGGCAGCAGUAGGGAAUCUUCCGCAAUGGACGAAAGUCUGACGGAGCAACGCCGCGUGAACGAUGAAGGCCUUCGGGUCGUAAAGUUCUGUUGUUAGGGAAGAACAAGUACCAGAGUAACUGCUGGUACCUUGACGGUACCUAACCAGAAAGCCACGGCUAACUACGUGCCAGCAGCCGCGGUAAUACGUAGGUGGCAAGCGUUGUCCGGAAUUAUUGGGCGUAAAGCGCGCGCAGGUGGUUUCUUAAGUCUGAUGUGAAAGCCCACGGCUCAACCGUGGAGGGUCAUUGGAAACUGGGGAACUUGAGUGC